AGUGGCAAGAAAAGAAAGAAAGCGGAAAAAAAGAGUUCCAAGAAGAAGAAAAAGAGAACUGAUUGAUGAGAUAGCCUAAUUCCAUUUCCAUUCUUGCAUUUAUUUU
This 106-nucleotide non-coding RNA is filed under the name Durinskia baltica. The record is from RNAcentral. Lineage: Eukaryota; Dinophyceae; Peridiniales; Kryptoperidiniaceae.